CCAGCACAUCGAGACAACCAACCCAGCCCAGCGAACAGCCUCCAUCGUUCCCUUAUUUUCUCCUCUGCCUCCCGCGAACCCUCGCCGCCUCCACCAACGCCGGGCGAUUCCGGCUACUUCCGGCAGCCCUCACCGAAGCGCAGCACACCCACGAGCUCUCCUCGCGACGGUUCUUCCUUCCCUCUGGCAAAAUCUGCUCCUCGCGGCAGCAAGCGCUCGCGCACGACCCCUCUUCGCGGCUAGGGUUUCGGCUGCGUUCAACUCCGGCGCGGUUUGCUACUUAAUUUUCAAAAAAUCAUGCGUUUGUAUCACCAUCCUAUGGAACCACGAAGCCGGAUCCAAUGAUUUCAGAGAACAUUUACUAUGUUUAUGGAUCAUUACAUGUGAUCUGCUAGAACAAGCUACCGAAGCACUAGAACUGCUCUCUUUGAUGGCAUUGAAGAAAGUGGAAUACGAGCACCGGCUUAUUCUUCACGUGAGAUAGAUGAACAUGAGAAUGAGCAAGCUAUGGAUCGAUUGUAGAGAUCGAGUCAGCAUUCUCAAGAGGGAUUUGUGAGUUCCUAGUAGGGAACACAUGGACACGAAGCUGCGGCGGCGACGAUGAUGAUAUCAACAUGGGGCUGCAGCGGCGACGAUGACGACGACGAGAUCGACAUCGUCACGGGGCUGCGGCGGCGGCGACGAUGACGACGACGAGAUCGACAUCGUCACGGGGCUGCGGCGGCGACGACGACGACGGCAUCCUCACGGUGAUGCGGCGGCGGCGAUGAUGACGACAUCAACACCAUCAAACACGGGCUUGUGGAGGCGCCGGCGAUGAUGACCUAUAGGCGUGGUGUAUAUUGUAUAUAUAUAUAAAUAUGUAUGUAUUAAUUAUCUAUAGUAGAUGUGUAUGAUUGACUGUAUGCAUAAAAUGUGCGUAUUAUAAAAUGCAUGUAUGUGAGUACUAUGAAA
Molecule: long non-coding RNA, 954 nt
Organism: Triticum dicoccoides
Lineage: Eukaryota; Viridiplantae; Streptophyta; Magnoliopsida; Poales; Poaceae
Exons: 4
Source: RefSeq, a predicted model, not a curated record